Molecule: ribosomal RNA, 522 nt
Filed under: Penicillium sp.
Lineage: Eukaryota; Fungi; Ascomycota; Eurotiomycetes; Eurotiales; Aspergillaceae
Description: SSU rRNA
Rfam family: Eukaryotic small subunit ribosomal RNA
Source: RNAcentral
AAUUCAUGUCUAGUAUAGCAUUAUACCGUGAAACUGCGAAUGGCUCAUUAAAUCAGUUAUCGUUUAUUUGAUAAUACCUUACUACUUGGAUAACCGUGGUAAUUCUAGAGCUAAUACAUGCUAAAAAUCCCGACUUCGGAAGGGAUGUGUUUAUUAGAUAAAAAACCAAUGCCCUUCGGGGCUUCUUGGUGAUUCAUGAUAACUUUACGGAUCGCAUAGCCUUGCGCUGGCGACGGUUCAUUCAAAUUUCUGCCCUAUCAACUUUCGAUGGUAAGGUAUUGGCUUACCAUGGUUUCAACGGGUAACGGGGAAUUAGGGUUCGAUUCCGGAGAGGGAGCCUGAGAAACGGCUACCACAUCCAAGGAAGGCAGCAGGCGCGCAAAUUACCCAAUCCCGACACGGGGAGGUAGUGACAAUAAAUACUGAUACAGGGCUCUUUUGGGUCUUGUAAUUGGAAUGAGUACAAUUUAAACCUCUUAACGAGGAACAAUUGGAGGGCAAGUUUCGCCCCCCCCCAAACAA